GAUGAACGCUGGCGGCGUGCCUAAUACAUGCAAGUCGAGCGAACGGACGAGAAGCUUGCUUCUCUGAUGUUAGCGGCGGACGGGUGAGUAACACGUGGAUAACCUACCUAUAAGACUGGGAUAACUUCGGGAAACCGGAGCUAAUACCGGAUGAUAUUUUGAACCGCAUGGUUCAAAAGUGAAAGACGGUCUUGCUGUCACUUCUCGAUGGAUCCGCGCUGCAUUAGCUAGUUGGUACGGUAACGGCUUACCAAGGCAACGAUGCAUAGCCGACCUGAGAGGGUGAUCGGCCACACUGGAACGGAGACACGGACCAGACUCCUACGGGAGGCAGCAGUAGGGAAUCUUCCGCAAUGGGCGAAAGCCUGACGGAGCAACGCCGCGUGAGUGAUGAAGGUCUUCGGAGCGUAAAACUCUGUUAUUAGGGAAGAACAUAUGUGUAAGUAACUGUGCACAGCGUGACGGUACCUAAUCAGAAAGCCACGGCUAACUACGUG
RNAcentral lists this ribosomal RNA (497 nucleotides) under uncultured bacterium. RNAcentral's name for it is "partial 16S ribosomal RNA". It matches the Rfam family "Bacterial small subunit ribosomal RNA", at positions 28 to 507 of the family's 1533-position model. The record is from RNAcentral.